This 253-nucleotide ribosomal RNA is filed under the name uncultured bacterium. RNAcentral's name for it is "partial 16S ribosomal RNA". It matches the Rfam family "Bacterial small subunit ribosomal RNA", at positions 524 to 776 of the family's 1533-position model. The record is from RNAcentral.
UACGUAGGGUGCAAGCAUUAAUCGGAUUUAUUGGGCGUAAAGGGCGCGUAGGCGGGGAGGAAAGUUAGAUGUGAAAUCCCGGGGCUCAACCUCGGAACCGCAUCUAAAACUUCCUUUCUAGAGGAUGAGCGGAGAAAAUGGAAUUCCACGUGUAGCGGUGAAAUGCGUAGAUAUGUGGAGGAACACCGGUGGCGAAGGCGAUUUUCUAGCUUAGACCUGACGCUGAGGCGCGAAAGCAAGGGGAGCAAACAGG